GGCUCUUUGGUCUAGGGGUAUGAUUCUCGCUUAGGGUGUGAGAUGUCCCGGUUCAAAUCCCGGAUGAUCCC
RNAcentral lists this transfer RNA (71 nucleotides) under Alosa alosa (allis shad). RNAcentral describes it as "tRNA-Pro". It matches the Rfam family "tRNA". From Rfam's summary of the family: Transfer RNA (tRNA) molecules are approximately 80 nucleotides in length. Their secondary structure includes four short double-helical elements and three loops (D, anti-codon, and T loops). Further hydrogen bonds mediate the characteristic L-shaped molecular structure. tRNAs have two regions of fundamental functional importance: the anti-codon, which is responsible for specific mRNA codon recognition, and the 3' end, to which the tRNAs corresponding amino acid is attached (by aminoacyl-tRNA synthetases). tRNAs cope with the degeneracy of the genetic code in two manners: having more than one tRNA (with a specific anti-codon) for a particular amino acid; and 'wobble' base-pairing, i.e. permitting non-standard base-pairing at the 3rd anti-codon position. The record is from RNAcentral. Lineage: Eukaryota; Metazoa; Chordata; Actinopteri; Clupeiformes; Clupeidae.